GCUGCGUGUAACGGACCAAGGCAGCAACCUCUGCCCACAGGAGUGUGCUGGCUUGGGGCCGUACGCGCUCCCGCCUUGCCGCAGGGUCACUCGCAUGACAACGUCUGUCUGUCCCUCCGUCCGUCCAGCCCCCAUUCUGCCAAUCCUGCCUUUCCCUCUGGCACCACUGAAUACUCGCUCCCAGCCGUGCCCUGCGGGUUGCAGAGCACCCACGGGUCGGCUCAGCCCGCUGCAGAGCCAGGAGACCAAGGUCCUUCCUCCUCCUCCUCAUCCCCUCGGGGCUGUGGAUCGCACGUCAGCGUUGGAGCCAUUGGAAAUGAUGGAGCGGGGUGAGGGACUUGCGCCGUUCCUUCCCUCUCAGCUGCGCUCCCUUCACAAGCAGGUGAUUCUUCUGCCCACUCAACCCACAGACUCGUCUGGGCCCAGCGCACAAGCUGUUCCUUCUCCUUCGCACAUCAUCAACAACAGCACAGGCCCUGCCUGCCAAAAUAACCCCUUAACGAUGGCUGGGUAACGGCCCUGGCUUCAGCCCCUCUGCGCUCGCGGGCAGUGGGCACGCGGUGAGCGCGGCUCGUGGGCAGGGGUGGAAGCCGGUGCUCCGUCCCAGCUCUGCUGCUCCCGCGGGAGGGCGUUUCCAUCGGGGAGCGAGGGCUGCUGAAGGCCAGCGCGGGGCAGAGGAACCGCGUUUCCUCCACCGCAGCAGCGCCCAGGGAAGCAGGCGAACCCCUGGGAAGCCUGAACGGCGGGCUCACCUCCCCCAGAGCGCUUACAGCUGCCGUUUGGGAGUAGCAAACCUUCCUGUCGUAGUCUUUAAAUCAAGUGACACUAAUUGGACAAAACUGUAAAGAUCUGCGUGACAAUCGCUGCAUUAACUGUGAUGCGCGUGAAACAUCGUUAUAUGCUGAAAAAUACAGCAAUUGCACCGAGCAACUUAGGCAGUUCCAGGCUGCAGGAGGAAGAUGUGCGUCUAUCCCUAAGGAAAGUUUUUUCUGUGUACCUCAUGGUGCAAUCUGGUGCACUCUAAAAGGAAAAAGAGACUACAGAUUCUUAUUCUACAGGAGUGCUGUGGAGCAUCAGCAAUAAGUCAUCUUUGGCAGGCAUAUGUUAACAGCAGCCAGGGAGGGGAGAGCUUCGGCAGAGCAGAGAAAUCAUUCCAGCCUGACUUUGGUACGACUCCAGCAAGUCUGAAAUAUCCAUAAGGACCCUGCUCCCAUCCCUCCUCAGAUCCAUCCUGACCCUGUCUUGGGCAAGGCCAAUGGCGAACGCCAGAUUCUGCCCCUCCAGCUGCUGCCUAAAAUAUCUUCCUGGGCAACAUCUCACAUCACGUCAGGACAGGCAGCAGGACCAGUAUCUCCAGUCUUCUCCCGCUCCUGAAGCACAGGACACUUGUGCACCUCUGUCUGAAAUGGCAGCUCGGUGCUGACGAGACGAACCCGAGAAGCACCGAGGCAGAGACGGAGCGCCGGCAGCGAUGCUCGGCAUCCUGCGGUUCGUGCUGCGAGCAGGGGCGACCUGGCCUGGCCGCUGCAGCACUGCCUCCACGCUGCCCUUUGGUCUGAGCUGCAAGCAGGGGCUGUGGUGGCAGUCCCGGCACUGCCACCUGCGCCCCAGGCCCUGUCCAGCACCCCAAGGCAUGUCCUGCGUCCCACCACACGCCCCGUGGCCCUGGGGCAGCAGGCAGCGGUGUGUGCCCCAUGGAGCGCUGCCAUCACCACGGCCCACCACACAUGAGGACGGUCACCAAGCGCUGCCGCGACACCCGUGGCUGACAUUGGGCGCUUAGGUGUGGUGGGCUGCUGUGCCAAGUCCCCUGUGUCCUCAGGAGGGGUCUGAGCGGCGGCACCGGGAACAGAGGGGCUUGAGGGGAGGGCUGUGGUGGGGAGAGCCGGGGGAAGGCAGCACGCCCUCCUCCCACGGCCCCCAGAGCCAGCCGGCCUCCCCAGCACCAGGGCAAGCGCUGGCACCCCUGACCGCAAACGGUCCUGAGGGCUCCCGGGCUGAGACUGAGCUGGGUGCAGACUGUGAGAACAAAAAUCAUUGUCUGGACAUCGCUGAGAAGAAAAUCAGCCCCUCCAGACCAGGAUCGGUCGCUCCAGGAUCCAUUUCUGAGCGGCAGUAGCCUGCCUCUCUCUGUCACCGACCUGGGCACGGCUCUGGUAAUCAUCAGGGCCGCCUUCCAGGAGCGCUGCCAAUGAGAGAAACAAAUACAUCGCGAGUCACUUUUUUGUGUUAAGAGCUGUGAGGGUGAAGACGGGGAUUAGUGGGAGCAGGCACAUCCAUCCGUUGGCGCUUGCCAUUUUCCAUCUCAAUUUUCUGGGCCACCCAGGAGGACCAUGAUGGUUCAAAGUGUAAAAGGCGUCCCGGCCUACGGCAACCGAAUGCUCCGACAGGCCGGCCAGGGCGUGCCGAGCCCCCACCUCGGACCCAGCCCCCCUGCCGAGCCCCGUCACCCCCAAGCGCCCAGGCUGGUGCCUUCACGUCAUCGGACCGACGCCUGGGGCACUGCCCGGCCCCUGCCAGCAUGGCUGCCCCGAACACACGUGCCGUGAGUGCUGGGCACGAGGCGGCUGCUCUGCCGGCACGGGUUGAUCCAGGGGGACCCGUGAAACAGCCGGGGCUGCCGCAGCUGUGAGCCGCGGUGCCGAGCUCCGUGCACCCCGUGCUGCCCAAUGCACCACCACCCCUUCGCUGAGCCUGCCGAGGUUUGCUGCAGCACUAACUCUUUUUGAACCUAAGAAAAACGCAGGCUGCUUUCAAAUUUGCACCGAACGGGGCCAGAGAAAGGCACGGUCUGAAGCUGGGGGGCCCGCAGGAAGCACAGCCUGGGGAGGAGUGCCGCCACAGCGACCUCGAACAAACCCUUGGCACGAAGCUGUCGCCGGAGCCAGGCAGGCCUGCGCCCCGGUGCACACGUGUGUCUGCCACGCGCCCCGGCGCCCGCUCCGCCGGCCAGAGGGCAAGCGGGUCACCAGCACCGGCCCUCGCCGCCUGAGCGUGGCCGUGGAAGGCGAGUCGAGGUUAACAGCGACACAGCUGCAAAACCAGCCAGCCGGGGACAAACCGCAGCGCCGGCCGAGGAGGAACCUCUCACACCUGAUGGGGCGAAGGGGAGCGGGCGGAGGGGACCGGCCACUGUUGGUCUUGGGAGCCGCACAAAGCGGAGAGAGGGUAUUUAACCCCCUGCAGAGUCCCUUAAAACCUCUUCUGAGCUCCAAAACCCAACAGCUGAAGAAACAGCGGGCUGUUUUCCUUACCUUUGCUGCAGAGUAUCGCUUUCAGCUGACUCUGGUAGAGCCGCAGUGACCGAAACAACAGGUUACUCCCGCUUGUCUGCGUUGGCAGCAGCCCGCACAGGAUGAGGGCAUUCGCCCAGCUGGUGCACCAGGAGCGGGGACUGGCGGGCGACGGGGAGGACCUGGCAGACAUCUGCGUGGGGACGGACCGGUACGCCACGUACCAGGCUGGUGCUCUCCAUCGGCGGAUCGAGGCCGGGUCUGUUGCGAUCACGGACACGACGGUGGACGACUCCUUCGAGCCACAGCUUGAGCAGGUGGUGCUGGAUGACGUGGUGGUGCGGAGCACCGAGCUGGACAAGGACCUCACAGAGGAACUACGCGCCUGCAGCACGGAGAUUCCUGGCUUUCCCACGCUCGUCAGCCGUACGACGUGCACCCGUGGCUUCUACAAAGGCAAAAUGAUCUUUGGCCGUCCUCCCUCCACCCAAGCAUAACGCCAAGUCUUUAUGUUCUUAUGUGGGCAAAACUACCCACGCUACCAAGGCCUAAGAAAGGCUGCAGGAUCAGACCCACCUGACGCGUUGGAGCUCGUUCAGCAGUCAGAGCAGGGGACGCCUUCAGAACACGCAGUACCGAUUUCAGCGUUUUGCCAGGGCGAGACCUCCUCUGCUAAUGGGUCUCUCGCGCGUCUGACGGUUAAAUUGUGUAACGUCACCUGCACGGCCAGCGCUGCUGUAGCUGGUGGCGGAUCCAGAGCGAAGAUCCACCCAACAGCGGUCGCUCCCUGGGACAACGCAGGUGCCCGGGGGACCUCUGCUGCCCCUGGUCCAGCCGUUACGCAGGAGCCACGCGCGGUCGCAGACUUUCCGGAAAGCAGGAGGCCGGUAGCUGCACCCUGGCACAGAAAACAGCCCCUUGUCCGCAAUCCUGUAGCGAGCCCAGCAGAUGGGUUGUGCCGAGUUGUUUCCUACAAGAAGAUUGUAACUUCAGAACUACCAAACACAAGAAAAGUGUCAGGAAGCGCGUGACAUUUAUGUAAACAAACUUUGGUUACUCUGGAACCGUUUCCUUUGCAAAAUUAAAUGCUGAUUGCAGCGUAGAUGAAAUGUAAUAAAUGAAGACUUAAUAAUCUGAGGACUAUUUAUAAACCUUUGGAUCUGCUUGCAAAUGCGACCAUCUGUGUAUUGCUCGAGGCCAUGUUUUAUUUAAACAAAAAGCCAUUUGAGAGGAUUAACAGUAGGAACAGCAAUAAAAUGAAGCACUCUGCCCAGGUUAGCACGCCGCAGGUAUACGUUUUGCUCGCACAAAGGACUUCACCUGCUGCGCGAGGGGAGUAGCUGCACCGGGCACGGGGCCGCUCUGUGGACCCCGGUGCAGCUGCAGGACAGCCAAAGGCACCAGCGGAGGUAGGGGAGAGGUGGGGACGCGUGCCCGCGCCGGGUCGCACUGAGCGCAGCGUCGGGUCCAGCCUGCGGCGAUGCCCCGGGGCUGCGGCAGGAGCGGAGGGAGCGCCAGCGCCCCGGGACCCAGCUCCCUGGCCAGCACCGCUGCCGCCCCAGCGCGGAACACCACUCGCACGCGGCUCCAGCUGCCUGCCAUCCGUGGCAGCUCCUUAGGUAAGAUUAAACCUAAAUUAAGGGGGGUUUUUCCCCAAUUUUCCCUUUCUGCACAGCUUGCUAUGCCCCUCUUCCACAGUAAUUUGGCAAUUUUUGGAUUUAACCUGGCAGACCUUCACAGCUGACGUACGCCGAGGAGCUGCGAUGACUGGCCCUGCAGACUGCGACACCCCCUGUACUUAACUCCCGUGGGCUUACUCUUCCUCUUUACAAACCUUACAAGUUGUGUAAUUUUCUCCUCUAUACACAGACACAGCGCACGGGCUUUAAACACUGCGGUUAACAGGAGUUCAGUAACUAUUCAAAGGAAAUAGCGGGGGCCCUGCGCAGCUGAGCGGGGUGGCCGGAUCCAGCGAACAUCGCCGUGCGGGAGCUGCGGACCACCAAUACAGCUUGAACUGCACCAACACACCUACGCACCCCAGGAGCGCUCCAGCCAAAACUCGCACAGAAAUUAAGUCUGUGUUACCAAACUGCAGGUUCUUCGCCCCCAUCUUGAGUCGCUGUAAAGGAUUGUCCUGUUCGGGUCGCCCCUGUCCGCAGCGAUCCUCUCGGAAGGCGAUGCCUUUGCAUUUGGUAUAAACUAAACGACACGCAAAAUGAAUCCGCAUUUGUGACCGCUAUUGUUAUUUGUUGCUGUUACAAAGGCCGUUCAGACUGUCAUCUGUACAAUAAUAUUUAAAGAUCUGUCAAAACCGGACGCGUGCCAGAGUGUUUGAACACGAGGUCGGUGUGCGGGAAGCACAAACUGUCCGGCUGAGCGGGGGCAGCUUCGCCCCCGUCGCGUGGUCGGCAGGUUUGGGCACGGGGAACCCCCGAGAGGGAAAGGGACGGGGCACACACGUUACUGAAACAACCUUGACCUGAUUUCAGGUAACUGCCAGGGACCGCAUCCUGCACGUUCACCCGCUGAUCGACUCCCAUCAACGAUCCAGAAAAUCCUCUCCACAAGCUGUAAGAGCCUGAACUGCGCCCGGGUCGAGGGGAGGGCGUUUUCGCGGAGGGUUACCGGCAGCCUGAAGAAUUUCCCACUGAAAUCACUUCCAGUUCUUACGGUUCAGUUACAGCUUGCCUCCAAAUGAAUUACACCACCUUUGGAACAGUAACUUACAGGAUUUAAGAGUUCUGGAAAACAAAAUUUUAACGUAUCCAAAACCUUGGGAGAGGAUCUUAAGAUAUUACUGACAUUAAGAGCACGAACAUGUAGGUCUAAAGAUACUUACAGGCACGCUGAGGGGCUGCCCCAGGGUACUCGUUCUCCAGUCCGUAUCCUAAAAUUGGCUUCAUCAGCAACCCCGGGGCCCUUCUCGUCCCAGAACUAUUUCCAAACGCCCGGUGCAGCUCGAUUUGCCUCCCAGACGUGCGGGUUUCUCUGGCGUCCCUCUUGUCACCCCACCACACCUCAUCACGCUGCCGCCUCCCUUCCGCAGAGUCGGCUGCUGGGGCGGGGGGCUGGCAGCGAGCGGGGCCGUCCGGGGUGCUCCCCCGGCGCCGGGACCCCGCUUCCACGGUCCCGCUCAGCUACACCAACAACUUGCCAGCGCUUUCAUCUGGGAUACAGUCAGUUUGCCACUGUGAAAAAGCAAACUCCACUUUUUUACAAGACAAGCAGAUUGGUUCCUAGUUUCCAUCCCGCGAUCGCAGUUCCUUGGCUCAGAGAUUAAUCUGCGGGGGAGGAAUCCCAGGACAGGAGCCAGCGUCCUCCCAGGACUGAAACAAAAUCCCUCCAGUCGCUCACCACGCAAUCCGACGUACCAUUCGGACUCAGUUCGGCUAAGUCCACGGUCUGCUCAAGAAACACAUGCACUAAUAGCGACGUACCUUAAGUCCUUUGUGAAAAUAAUUUAAAACCACUCCAGGAAAAGAAAUACGCUACUUGAACGUUUUGCCUCAUGUGAUGAGUGAGGUUUACUCUGCUUACAGAAACACAGUUCUGGUCAUUAACUUUGCAGGAGAUGGUGAACUCUCCAUUUUUUUACAACACUGUCCGGUGAAGAGAUUCUUGGUUUCCUUAUUUUGCUUUUAGCUUAAUGAUCAUGUUGUUAAAGGUUGUUCUUUUUUGUGUUGCAGAUUCUAACUGUGACACUCUAAGAGUCCGUAGUUUACAGAGCUCAGACUGCGUGUCCUUGGUGAGCUCCUUUUCAAAACACUAACCGUUACUGCAAAGCCCUCUCUGUGCUCCGAGGGGUAAGAGCUGGCGUUGCGAUCACUCACGUUUUUCUUUUUCUAUAAAUACGCGCACAAGCGUGCGUAUAAGCUUACGUGCACGUAAACUGGCUGUAUUGGGUCUGGCUGAGAUGGAGUUAAUUCUCCCCACAGCAGCCCUCAUGGUGCUGUGCUGUGUAUUGGUAGCUAGCAAACUGUUGAUAACACACCAGUGGUUUGGCUACUACUGAGUAGUGCCAGCACACAUCAAGGCUGUCUUUCCAACAUUUCUUUUUCCCCAGCAGCAGGCUGGGGGUGGGCAAGAUCUUGGGAGGGGACACAGCUGGGACAGCUGACCCAAACUGACCAAAGAGAUAUUCCAUACCAUAUGACGUCUGCUCAGCAAUAAGAAACUGAGAAUAGGGGGAGGAACAGGGUGGGGGCAUUCGUUGUUUUUUUUUUUUUUUACAAUGUUUGUCUUCCGGAGUAAGGGGUACGCAUACUGAAGCCCUACUUCCCAGGAAGUGGCCGGACAUCACCUGCUGAUGGGAAGUAGAGAAUAAUCUUUUGCUUUUUGCUUUGCUUCCACGCGCGGCUUUUUUUUGCUUUAGCUACAUUAAACUGCCUUUAUCUUGACCCAUGAGUUUGGGGUUGUUUUUUUUUCCAUCCUCCUUUCUCCCCUCCCUGCCUUACUGAAGAGGGGAGUGAUAGAGUGGCUCUGGUGGGCACCUGGCCCCCAGCCAGGCUCAACCCACCACAGUCUUUUUGGCGCCCAACGAGGGGCACGAGAAAACCGAGAUAAGGACAGUAAUUGGAAGAGGUAACGAGCAAAACAUUGACUGAACUUACCUUGAGAGUGAAAUAGUGGUGAAGGGACGAGAGGUGGAUUCUGUGUGUAUUGUCCACUCUUGUUUGGUGUUGUGAUAGUGUUGCUUUGAUUCUGGUGGGGGGAAUUUUUUUUCUUUUCCUUGUUGAUGUGAUUAGUGUGUGUAGUUUUUGUGUUGAAUGUAUAUUUUAAUAAUUCUUAAAUAUGUGAUUCACAGAGGUGAGGGGUGGAAGCCCUCUGGCACAAACGUUAAGUGGUUUGCAACAGCUGGAUACCACAACUGAUCUUGCACCAGUUGGAAACUUGACUUUCAGGCACUAUUUAACAUUUAAGCUGCUUUUCUGACUACCAAAAUUCACAGAUAAGUUUAAUUUUCAUGAAGAAGUUUGUCUCAGGCUUUAAAAAAUCAGAUUGUUAGUCAAACUGCAUACGCUUCAUACAUCAGCGUAAAGGAUAGCUGAAUUCUGAACCGUCACCCUUACGGAGUCAAAACCAACAAAGGGCUGCAGGAGAUGCCGGCUGAGAAGUCAACUUCCCAUUAACAUUUUCUAAAUUAAGAUUUUUACAUGCAAUUAAUUUCAUCCAUCUUUGUACAAAAGUAACUUGCAAAAUUUCAGUUUUUCUUAAAAAGCGUAGAAAGCAUUUAUCAUGAAAACAAAUGUCCUUAUAAGCAUCCCCAUUUCCCGGGGGGGUCUCGAUCAUCUCUCGUGGCCAGCGGUAAGGCGAGGCCGAAACGCCCGCUCCUCCCUGCAGAGGCCAGCGAGCGACCGAGGGGCUCUGCAGGAGCUCCCAGCAAGAGCCACCCGCACACGCGCGUCCCCGGGCGUGCGGAGCAAAAUACCUGAAGCCAGGUUCACUGACCUGCACGCUUUCCAUGCUCCACCGUCAGAUGGAAAUCCCUCUAAAAGUCCUCAUUCCGGCCUCGCCGAAUCGAUAAGGAGCCCCGAUUCACGGCUGCAGGGAGUUGGAGGUAAGCGGACUUCUACCCAGGCUAUUCCCCGAGAAACAACAGGCAUGAAGACGAUGGCAAGACACUGCCUAAAAAUCAACGCCCUUUAUUUCAAACCCAAAUAUCUGCUUCAUUUAAACUUUCUUUUUUCAUAAAUGUCUUGGUUUUUAUAAAAGAUGAUAACUAUAAUCUGAAAAGAUUUUGUGCCACUGAAAUGAUCUCGUAGAUCUGCUUUUAACAGCGAGAAGAGAAAAAAAAGACUGCCUGAAGUUUGGGAUCUUCCGUUUCUGGGAAGCAGCCUAGAAGCCAGCCUGGUCUCCGGAAGAGAAGAAAAUCAAUGCUGGUCUCCCCUGCAGGAACAUCCAACAGGUUGUGAAGCUGGCCAAGUGUGUUGUAAAAAUAACGAGUGACCUCAAAUGAGAUACCAAAAUAAAAUGCGCAAAUAUACACAGAAUUGUAAUUUUAGCACAAACAUGCAAAGGCUAAAUCCAGAAGACACACAGCUCCCACGCCUUUUGGGCAGUCUCUGUAGCAUUAUCCCCCCAAUAAAAUAACUUCAACACUCA
This is a long non-coding RNA of Grus americana (Whooping crane), 9338 nucleotides long. RefSeq lists it as uncharacterized. The record is from RefSeq and is a predicted model, not a curated record. NCBI's taxonomy places the organism in Eukaryota, Metazoa, Chordata, Aves, Gruiformes, Gruidae. The transcript has 4 exons.